RNAcentral lists this ribosomal RNA (609 nucleotides) under Curvibasidium nothofagi. Its description in RNAcentral is "eukaryotic LSU rRNA". It matches the Rfam family "Eukaryotic large subunit ribosomal RNA", at positions 48 to 656 of the family's 3401-position model. Lineage: Eukaryota; Fungi; Basidiomycota; Microbotryomycetes. The record is from RNAcentral.
AAGCGGAGGAAAAGAAACUAACAAGGAUUCCCCUAGUAACGGCGAGUGAAGCGGGAAGAGCUCAAAUUUGUAAUCUGGCACUUUCAGUGUCCGAGUUGUAAUCUCGAGAAGUGUUUUCCGCGCCGGACCGCAUACAAGUCUGUUGGAAUACAGCGUCAUAGUGGUGAGAACCCCGUAACUGAUGCGGAUGCCCGGUGCUUUGUGAUACACUUUCGAAGAGUCGAGUUGUUUGGGAAUGCAGCUCAAAUUGGGUGGUAAAUUCCAUCUAAAGCUAAAUAUUGGCGAGAGACCGAUAGCGAACAAGUACCGUGAGGGAAAGAUGAAAAGCACUUUGGAAAGAGAGUUAACAGUACGUGAAAUUGUUGGAAGGGAAACGAUUGAAGUCAGACUUGUUAUCUGGAGUUCAGCCUUUCGGUGUACUCUCCAGUUUACAGGCCAGCAUCAGUUUUCGGGGCGGGAAAAUCGUAAUUAGAAGGUAGCAGCCUAGCUGUGUUAUAGCUCUUUACUGGAUUCCGCUUUGGGGACUGAGGAACGCAGUGUGCUUUUAGCAAUACCCUCGGGUAUUUCACACUUAGGAUGCUGGAGGAAUGGCUUAAACGACCCGUCUUG